CCUACGGGAGGCAGCAGUGGGGAAUAUUGCGCAAUGGGCGAAAGCCUGACGCAGCGACGCCGCGUGAGGGAUGAAGGUCUUCGGAUCGUAAACCUCUGUCAGCAGGGAAGAACGGUCACUGUGCUAAUCAGCAGUGAAUUGACGGUACCUGCAAAGGAAGCACCGGCUAACUCCGUGCCAGCAGCCGCGGUAAUACGGAGGGUGCGAGCGUUAAUCGGAAUUACUGGGCGUAAAGCGCUCGUAGGCGGUAUGUCAAGUCAAGGGUGAAAUCCCCGCGCUCAACGUGGGAACUGCCUUUGAAACUGGUAAACUGGAGAGUGGGAGAGGAUAGUGGAAUUCCAGGUGUAGGAGUGAAAUGCGUAGAUAUCUGAAGGAACAUCAGUGGCGAAGGCGACUAUCUGGCACAUAACUGACGCUGAGGAGCGAAAGCGUGGGUAGCAAACAGGAUUAGAUACCCCUGUAGUC
Molecule: ribosomal RNA, 465 nt
Filed under: uncultured bacterium
Lineage: Bacteria
Description: partial 16S ribosomal RNA
Rfam family: Bacterial small subunit ribosomal RNA
Source: RNAcentral